Molecule: ribosomal RNA, 468 nt
Filed under: uncultured bacterium
Lineage: Bacteria
Description: partial 16S ribosomal RNA
Rfam family: Bacterial small subunit ribosomal RNA
Source: RNAcentral
GACGAACGCUGGCGGCGUGCUUAACACAUGCAAGUCGAACGGAAAGGCCCUGCUUUUGUGGGGUGCUCGAGUGGCGAACGGGUGAGUAACACGUGAGUAACCUGCCCUUGACUUUGGGAUAACUUCAGGAAACUGCGGCUAAUACCGGAUAGGAGCUCCUGCUGCCUGGUGGGGGUUGGACAGUUUCGGCGGUUGGGGAUGGACUCGCGGUUUAUCAGCUUGUUGGUGGGGUAGUGGCUUACCAAGGCUUUGACGGAUAGCCGGCCUGAGAGGGUGACCGGCCACAUUGGGACUGAGAUACGGCCCAGACUCCUACGGGAGGCAGCAGUGGGGAAUAUUGCACAAUGGGCGGAAGCCUGAUGCAGCAACGCCGCGUGCGGGAUGACGGCCUUCGGGUUGUAAACCGCUUUCGCCUGUGACGAAGCGUGAGUGACGGUAAUGGGUAAAGAAGCACCGGCUAACUACGUG